UACAGAGGGUGCAAGCGUUAAUCGGAAUUACUGGGCGUAAAGCGCGCGUAGGCGGCUGCCUAAGUCGGAUGUGAAAGCCCCGGGCUCAACCUGGGAACUGCAUUCGAUACUGGGCGGCUAGAGUAUGAGAGAGGGAGGUAGAAUUCCACGUGUAGCGGUGAAAUGCGUAGAUAUGUGGAGGAAUACCGGUGGCGAAGGCGGCCUCCUGGUUCAAUACUGACGCUGAGGUGCGAAAACGUGGGGAGCAAACAGG
Molecule: ribosomal RNA, 253 nt
Filed under: uncultured bacterium
Lineage: Bacteria
Description: partial 16S ribosomal RNA
Rfam family: Bacterial small subunit ribosomal RNA
Source: RNAcentral